Hippopotamus amphibius kiboko is the source of this 1868-nucleotide long non-coding RNA. RefSeq lists it as uncharacterized. The transcript is spliced from 2 exons. The record is from RefSeq and is a predicted model, not a curated record. Lineage: Eukaryota; Metazoa; Chordata; Mammalia; Artiodactyla; Hippopotamidae.
CUGUCGCCGACCUGCGCGGGGUGGAAGUGCUGCUGGAUUGCCUCCUGGUAGGGAAGCCUUUCGGGCGUCAAGAAGCUGGAGAGCUCGGCCACUGGGCAGCUGUCUCCGAAGAGCCUGGGCGAGAGGGACAGCGUCGUGCGCCAGUGCUUCAGGGCCGGCGCCGGCGCCAUCGCCAUCGCCGCGGGCUCACUCCUCUCCCCGGAAGGCCCCAAACGCCGCCGGCGCGGGCGACGGCCUGGAACCAAAGGUUCCGGCGUGCGAAGGGCGCCUCCCGGGCCCGGGCAGCUUUUGUUGGAACACCGGCGGCUCUGUGAAGCCUCGAAGUUCUGAACUUUGAACAGCGAGCCGAUAGCUAAAAGCCGCGAAAAGCCGCGCUUCCGAGACUCUCCUCUUAUCUCGUCCGAGCUGGUGGCCACUGGGCAAAUCCCUAAACAGGAAGUUGGACGCUUUGAUUCUGCAAAAGGUCUGGGACGGAGACUGACCAUUAGGCGCGACGGGUGGAAGCCUGGGUUGCCGCCGGCGCAGCUCACCUAGUCCCAGAAUUUGCAGGCGGGAACCUCCUUGCCUUCCGGUCCCAGCCCGACCUCUGGCUAUUUCGAGCCAAUCGGCGCAGAUGGGUUAAAUAGGGAGGGCUUUGCACCCCCGUAACUUACCUCAGCUUCCUCUACUACAUGUUUUAUUUUACGUAUAUGGAACUGCUGCCCAUCGCCUGAAACUCUGAAAGAUUUUGAUUUGAGAUGGCAGAUCACAGACAUAGAAUUCAUGAUCCUAACAGAAUAAUGUAUUUCCCUACACGAGGACUGAAGAGUUCAGAGAAGCCAUAAUGCCAGAAACACCUUCAAUUUCAUCCUCACGUUACUCUGGUAAUCUACUGGCAGCUUUUUUUCCCCUCCUGGGAAUGCUACAAAGUCCUUGUCUUUAAAAUCAUUAGGAAGAAAAGUAUAUACACAAUAUGAGCCCUGAUAUUUUAAUGGAAAUACUGACCAAGUUUACAACAUUUCAAAUGCAGAUCAUAGGGAAAGGUGACUAAGUACAAAAUACCAAACGUGAUUUAAAAUAUAACUUGCUGCUAUAAGACAGGCUGAGUUGAGCUUGGACUUCAGAUGGCAGGAGGGAUAAAAAUACUGUUUUUGAAACUCUUGCUGUAGGUGAAGCUCACCCUUCUUUUGGUAGCACUGGUAGGAUGGGGUUUUCUCCUCAAUUGGCCCCUGAAACCUUAUCCUGACCUGCAAGCAGCUGCUCUGGACUUAACCCUAUGCAGAGACAGCAAUAAUUGGGGCUGCCCCGGUCAGGUCCCAUCAGUUCCCCCCAGUAAUUCCAAGUCAACAUUAUCUUUCUUAAGCAAGCAGAGGGUGACAAGUAAGUUAUUGCUGGGAAAACCUGAAGAUCUCCCCCCACACCCCCCAAUCAGUAUCACUCCACCUCCCAAGUCAGGCAUUGCCCCAGCUUCACCAGAGAAUCUCCCUCACAAGGUUCUUCUGCCACCCUACACUUCUGGGCUCUGAGUCUCCUGUACUUGUCCCAUCCCUCUACUGCACCCUCCCACCUCCAACAAAAAGUCUGGGACUUUUUUGGAAUUGGAAAAGUCUACCAUGUGUUAUGAAAGUCCAGAGCCAAAAAAUUUGUGGUUUUGUUGUGGUGAUGUUGGGGAUUUUUAAUUAAAAAGCAAACAAAACCACACAAAACACUGCUGGUUACUUUACAACUAUCACUAGGGUAAUGGUGGAGAAAAAUCCACCGUGGUACUGGAAGGGGCUCAGUUGGUCUUUGUUCAGAAAGUCCAGCUGACCACAUAUAAAAAUCCUAAUCACUCAUGUUUAAAUAUCUGCCAGUUUAAAUUUAUGUAAUUAAAAAAAUAUAUAUGUAUA